ACGAACGCUGGCGGCGUGCUUAACACAUGCAAGUCGAACGGAAAGGCCCUGCUUUUGUGGGGUGCUCGAGUGGCGAACGGGUGAGUAACACGUGAGUAACCUGCCCUUGACUUUGGGGUAACUUCAGGAAACUGGGGCUAAUACCGGAUAGGAGCUCCUGCUUCAUGGUGGGGGGUGGAAAGUUUCGGCGGUUGGGGAUGGACUCGCGGCUUAUCAGCUUGUUGGUGGGGUAGUGGCUUACCAAGGCUUUGACGGGUAGCCGGCCUGAGAGGGUGACCGGCCACAUUGGGACUGAGAUACGGCCCAGACUCCUACGGGAGGCAGCAGUGGGGAAUAUUGCACAAUGGGCGGAAGCCUGAUGCAGCAACGCCGCGUGCGGGAUGACGGCCUUCGGGUUGUAAACCGCUUUCGCCUGUGACGAAGCGUGAGUGACGGUAAUGGGUAAAGAAGCACCGGCUAACUACGUG
This 467-nucleotide ribosomal RNA is filed under the name uncultured bacterium. Its description in RNAcentral is "partial 16S ribosomal RNA". It matches the Rfam family "Bacterial small subunit ribosomal RNA", at positions 29 to 507 of the family's 1533-position model. The record is from RNAcentral.